RNAcentral lists this ribosomal RNA (251 nucleotides) under uncultured bacterium. Its description in RNAcentral is "partial 16S ribosomal RNA". It matches the Rfam family "Bacterial small subunit ribosomal RNA", at positions 83 to 339 of the family's 1533-position model. The record is from RNAcentral.
GAAAUGAGUAGCGCGGCGAACGGGUGAGUAACACGUGAGAAUCUACCCUUUAGUGAGGAAUAACCUCGAGAAAUUGAGAAUAAUACCGCAUACGUCCCUUCGGGGAGAAAGGUGGCUUUUAUGCUGCCGCUAAAGGAUGAGCUUGCGUACUAUUAGUUUGUUGGUGGGGUAAUGGCCUACCAAGACGAUGAUGGUUAGCCGGCCUGAGAGGGUGAUCGGUCACAUUGGAACUGAGACACGGUCCAGACUCC